This 1215-nucleotide long non-coding RNA is filed under the name Notechis scutatus (mainland tiger snake). RNAcentral's name for it is "lncRNA (ENSNSUG00000000707.1)". Lineage: Eukaryota; Metazoa; Chordata; Lepidosauria; Squamata; Elapidae. The record is from RNAcentral.
GAAUUUUUCUUUUUUAAUUUUGGGCUUUUUAUUUCUUAUUGGCCUUUUUUUUUUUUUUUUGGUGCUUUCCCUUUUUCUAAUUGGAUUAUAAUUGGUCAUCUUAUUAACUGGAUUAAAAGAACCGGAAGACUCUGAAUCACGGAAUGAGUAAGAGAAUUUUACCUUCGGGCAUUUCAACUUCUGCUCCUGUCUCCCCAUCAUAUGGAGGACGACUUUCUAUAAUGGCAAAGCAAGAUAAAGCACAAAUGGAUUUAACGACGGUUAUACAAGGAAUACAAGAUCUUAAAAUGAGCAUGGAACAAAAAAUGGAGAGUAUUGAUAAAAGAAUUGGGAAGAUUGAUGAAAAAUUUGAAAAUUUUCAACAAAUGAUGGUGAAUCAUGAUGAGAGAAUCCAAAAAAUAGAAGAGAAAGACAAGCAAAGAGAUGACAUAAUUGGAAAUAUCGAUAGCAGAUUAACAACGGUUGAACAAGAAAAAAGUGGGAUGUUGAAGUGGGAGAUGGACAGGUCAGAAUUUUAUCUUAGAUUUCAAAAUAUUGAGGAGGAAAAAGGACAAAAUUUGGCUGCAGUAAUGAUUGAAAUCUUGGCUGGAGCCUUGGAAAUAACAGAAGAAAAAAUGAUGGAUGGAGUAGAUGAGAUAUAUCGAGUUUUCACAAGAUAUGCGACGAGGAACCAAUUACCAAGAGAGGUUCAUGUUAGAUUCACCAAAAAAACUAUUAAAACCCAAAUAUUACAAGUGGCAAGAGAGAGGGUGUUGAAGUAUAAAGACAAAGAGAUUGUGGUUUUAAAACAAGUACCUAGAAAAGUGAGAGAGAUUAGAAGAGAAUAUCGAUUUUUGACUAAAAGGCUAUUGGAAAAAGAGGUGAACUAUAGAUGGCUGAUUCCAGAAGGAUUAAUGUUUACGUGGCAAGAACAGAGAUACAGAAUUGAUUCAAUUGAGAAAGCAGAAACAUUCUACAAGGAAUUCUUUGAAAGAAGAGAAAUGGAGACAGAAAAAGAGAACAUUUCAACUGAAUCUGAAGAGGAUCAAAUGGAAAUGAGAAAAGAGGAAGGCGCAAUAGGUGGACAAGUGGAGACCAAAGAACAACGUGAAGUAAGAUCCACGAGAGCUGUUAGACCUAAAUAUAAAGUAUAACCAUGGAGGAAAAAAAAUUGAUUUCUAUCAAUAUAAAUGGACUGAAUUCAGCUAUUAAAGGAAGAAAAACCUUUCACAAAUU